This 34-nucleotide non-coding RNA is filed under the name unclassified sequences. RNAcentral describes it as "DUF805b RNA". It matches the Rfam family "DUF805b RNA". From Rfam's summary of the family: Bacteroidetes, Chlorobi (1 example), Proteobacteria. The record is from RNAcentral.
ACGGAAGAACCGAAAAUCCAGAAUAGAGUAGGAA